CGGGCGGCCGCGGCCAUGACGCAGGGUCCGGGCGGGCGCGCGGCCCCCCCGCCCCCCGCACCCCCGGAGCCUGAGGCGCCCACCACCUUCUGCGCGCUGCUGCCGCGCAUGCCGCAGUGGAAGUUCGCGGCCCCAGCCGGCUUCCUGGGCCGCGGCCCGGCGGCGGCGCGGGCUGCGGGGGGCGCGGGGGCGGCGGGGGGAGCCGAGCCCGAGCCCGAGCCGGCCGGCUCGGCCGGCGUCCCGGCGCUGGCGGCGGCGGUCCUGGGCGCCUGCGAGCCGCGCUGCACCGCGCCCUGCCCCCUGCCUGCGCUCAGCCGCUGCCGGGCUGCCGGGGCGCGGGGGUCGCGGGGCGCGCGGGGGGCAGCCGGGCCCCCGGACUCCGCCGCCGACGAGUGGAUCCGCAAAGGCAGCUUCAUCCACAAGCCGGCGCACGGCUGGCUACACCCGGACGCCAGGGUCCUGGGGCCCGGGGUCUCCUACAUCGUUCGGUACAUGGGCUGCAUCGAAGUCCUCCGUUCCAUGCGCUCCCUGGACUUCAGCACUCGCACCCAGCUCACCAGGGAAGCCAUCAACCGGCUCCAUGAGGCCGUGCCUGGCAUCCGGGGCUCCUGGAAGAAGAAGGCCCCCAACAAGGCACUGGCCUCCAUCCUGGGCAAGAGCAACCUGCGCUUCGCGGGCAUGAGCAUCGCCGUCAGCAUCUCCAUCGACGGCCUCAACCUCUCCGUUCCCGCCACGCACCAGAUCAUCGCCAGCCACCACAUGCAGUCCAUCUCCUUUGCGUCGGGGGGUGACACGGACAUGGUGGAUUAUGUGGCCUACGUGGCCAAGGACCCCAUCAACCAGAGAGCCUGCCACAUCCUGGAGUGCUGCGAGGGCCUCGCCCAGAGCGUCAUCAGCACCGUGGGCCAAGCCUUCGAGCUGCGCUUCAAACAGUACCUGCACAGCCCCCCCAGGGUUGUCGUCCCCCCGGGAAGGCUGACUGGGCCGGAGGACUCGGCCUGGGGGGACGAGGACGAGACAGAACACAGCUACUACAACCGCACUCCUGGGAAGGAACCGCCCCUGGGCGGGCUGGUGGACUCCAGGCUCACCCCCGCGCAGCAGCCCUGCGCCCUCGGGGCCCUUGGCCAGGGAGCAUCUCCUGCUCGAAGAGACGCCCGAGGCCCGCAGUGGGACGUGGGCCCCUCAGCCCCGCCCGGGGAUGGCUACGUGCAGGCAGACCCGCGGGGCCCGCGAGACUACGAGGACCACUUGUAUGUCAACACGCAAGGUCUGGACGGCCCGGAGACCCUGCAGCCUGAGGACAGCCCCAAGAAGGACCUGUUCGACAUGAGACCCUUCGAGGAUGCCCUGAGGCUGCACGAGUGCUCCGUGGCCGCGGGUCCGGCGGCAGCCCCCCUUCCCGUGGAGGACCAGUGGCCCAGCCCGCCGACCCGCCGGGCCCCCAUCGCCCCCACGGAAGAGCAGCUGCGGCAGGAGCCCUGGUACCACGGCCAGAUGAGCCGUCGGGCGGCGGAGAAACUGCUUCGAGUGGACGGGGACUUCCUUGUGCGGGACAGCGUCACCAACCCGGGGCAGUAUGUCCUCACCGGCAUGCACGCAGGGCAGCCCAAGCACCUGCUGCUCGUGGACCCCGAAGGCGUGGUAAGGUGCGGACGAAGGACGUGCUCUUCGAGAGCAUCAGCCACCUGAUCGACUACCACCUGCAGAACGGGCAGCCCAUCGUGGCCGCCGAGAGCGAGCUGCACCUGCGUGGUGUCGUCAGGCGGGAACCCUGAGCCAGGUUGUGGCUCUCAGCCUGUGGCUCCUUGUCCCCGCUCCCCCCGGAUGGCCCUGUGGUGGCCUUAGGGGCCCUCAGCCUUUCUCUGGACCCUGGUCGGGCCGGAAUCGCCGCUGUCUCUCCUUCCUCCGCGUGGGUCUCUGGAAUCUUCCUUCUCCAGCUGGCCCUGGGCUGGGCUGGGUCAAGCCCGCCUGGAGACGGAGCCCACGACCCCUUUCUCCCACCGAGCCCUCUGCCUGCCGCCAGCCUUCACCUGGAGUGAGGGCACACAUACCAAAGACAGAGCCUUUUCUCGCCUUUAAAGAAAGUAUAUCAGAAAGCAGCCCUCUAUCUCGGAGCCCUGGCCCAGGUUCCUGAUGGGGCAAGGAGGCACCGUUUCCUUUCCCGGCUGGACGUCAGCUCGCCUCCCUGGAACCAGCAGGUCCCCAGUUCCCUGGCAUGGAGACGGGUUCCUGUCCUGGCCGGGCUCAGAUUUUCCACCUGAAAAAUUAGUGCACAGUUGUCUUUUGGGGGGAGAAUCGAGGUGCUGUGGGCCCUCAGGCCAGGGCAAAUGCUGAUGUGGAAGUGGGGGGCAGCCUUGGGAUGAUGGGGGGUAUCCAGGCAACCCCAAGACAACUGACCCGGGUGGGGGUGGUUGUGAGGCCCCCGCCCUCCCAGCUGUCAACCUGCACUGGACACUUGGACUCUGUUUGUAAUUAAACCUGGGAAUGACCACGGGGCGCGUGAGCCGUCCUGCGCCUUACAAGGCCCUCUCGGGGUGGGGGUCUGGGUUCAGUCUCCUGGGGGGGAAGCCAAGGCAGCACCGGAUUUGGCCUCCCCGGGGCCGGAGGAAGAGGGAGCCAGGCCCUGGCUGUGCCCCUGUUUGGGGGGGGGUGG
RNA transcript from Orcinus orca (killer whale), 2656 nucleotides. It is a transcript of the gene named SHC adaptor protein 2, with no coding region annotated. Lineage: Eukaryota; Metazoa; Chordata; Mammalia; Artiodactyla; Delphinidae. The record is from RefSeq and is a predicted model, not a curated record. The transcript has 13 exons.